GAUGAACGCUGGCGGCGUGCCUAAUACAUGCAAGUCGAGCGAACAGACGAGGAGCUUGCUCCUCUGACGUUAGCGGCGGACGGGUGAGUAACACGUGGAUAACCUACCUAUAAGACUGGGAUAACUUCGGGAAACCGGAGCUAAUACCGGAUAAUAUAUUGAACCGCAUGGUUCAAUAGUGAAAGACGGUUUUGCUGUCACUUAUAGAUGGAUCCGCGCCGCAUUAGCUAGUUGGUAAGGUAACGGCUUACCAAGGCAACGAUGCGUAGCCGACCUGAGAGGGUGAUCGGCCACACUGGAACUGAGACACGGUCCAGACUCCUACGGGAGGCAGCAGUAGGGAAUCUGCCGCAAUGGGCGAAAGCCUGACGGAGCAACGCCGCGGGAGUGAUGAAGGUCUUCGGAUCGUAAAACUCUGUUAUUAGGGAAGAACAAAUGUGUAAGUAACUAUGCACGUCUUGACGGUACCUAAUCAGAAAGCCACGGCUAACUACGG
RNAcentral lists this ribosomal RNA (496 nucleotides) under uncultured bacterium. RNAcentral's name for it is "partial 16S ribosomal RNA". It matches the Rfam family "Bacterial small subunit ribosomal RNA", at positions 28 to 506 of the family's 1533-position model. The record is from RNAcentral.